CCUACGGGAGGCAGCAGUGAGGAAUAUUGGUCAAUGGCCGGAAGGCUGAACCAGCCAAGCCGCGUGAAGGACGAAGGUGCCAAGCAUUGUAAACUUCUUUUGUCAAGGGACAAAAUCAGGCUCGAGAGCCUGACCGUGGGUACUUGAAGAAAAAGCAUCGGCUAACUCCGUGCCAGCAGCCGCGGUAAUACGGAGGAUGCGAGCGUUAUCCGGAUUUAUUGGGUUUAAAGGGUGCGUAGGCGGGCUGUUAAGUCAGCGGGAAAAGACCGGGGCUCAACCCAGGCGAGCCGUUGAAACUGGCUGUCUUGAGAAGUCGAGAGGUAGGCGGAAUGCGUGGUGUAGCGGUGAAAUGCUUAGAUAUUGCGAAGAACUCCGAUUGCGAAGGCAGCAUACCGGCGGGGAACUGACGCUGAGGCACGAAAGCGUGGGUAUCGAACAGGAUUAGAUACCCGAGUAGUC
RNAcentral lists this ribosomal RNA (459 nucleotides) under uncultured bacterium. Its description in RNAcentral is "partial 16S ribosomal RNA". It matches the Rfam family "Bacterial small subunit ribosomal RNA", at positions 338 to 795 of the family's 1533-position model. The record is from RNAcentral.